RNAcentral lists this non-coding RNA (45 nucleotides) under Schistosoma margrebowiei. Lineage: Eukaryota; Metazoa; Platyhelminthes; Trematoda; Strigeidida; Schistosomatidae. The record is from RNAcentral.
AUCCAGAUGACGAGUCCUAGAUAGGAAGAAACGCGUGUCCUGGAU